RNAcentral lists this ribosomal RNA (251 nucleotides) under uncultured bacterium. RNAcentral's name for it is "partial 16S ribosomal RNA". It matches the Rfam family "Bacterial small subunit ribosomal RNA", at positions 524 to 776 of the family's 1533-position model. The record is from RNAcentral.
UACGGAGGAUCCAAGCGUUAUCCGGAAUCAUUGGGUUUAAAGGGUCCGUAGGCGGUUUGUAAGUCAGUGGUGAAAGCCCAUCGCUCAACGGUGGAACGGCCAUUGAUACUGCCAGACUUGAAUUAUUAGGAAGUAACUGGAAUAUGUAGUGUAGCGGUGAAAUGCUUAGAGAUUACAUGGAAUACCAAUUGCGAAGGCAGGUUACUACUAAUGGAUUGACGCUGAUGGACGAAAGCGUGGUAGCGAACAGG